Molecule: long non-coding RNA, 350 nt
Filed under: Elaeis guineensis (African oil palm)
Lineage: Eukaryota; Viridiplantae; Streptophyta; Magnoliopsida; Arecales; Arecaceae
Description: long non-coding RNA (EGUI_LNC009075)
Source: RNAcentral
UUCAAUCCCGUAUGGAUACCUAUAAAGAUCGAAUGCAUAUGCAGCUUUAAUAGAACCUACAGACAUUCUCAGAUUUGAUCUGAAGAAGUUUAGCAAUUCGAUAGGUAAUCUGAUCAUCAAAUUAUUUUCAUCAUGAAAUUAGAUGCAUGUUCUCUUAUUUCUCAUUAUAUGAACUAGAUCCGUAGGUGUUAGAUUAGAUCUAUAUAUGUGUAGAUUAAAAAUUAUUUAAUCUGUUCUUCCACUGCAUGUUCAAAAUAGUUUUGAAAAAUUUUGCAUGCAUGACAUCUCGAAAUCCAACAUGUGGCCAUUUUUGUAUGAGGGGUUGACUCAUCCCAUCCUAAGGUAGAUGC